RNAcentral lists this ribosomal RNA (301 nucleotides) under uncultured bacterium. RNAcentral describes it as "partial 16S ribosomal RNA". It matches the Rfam family "Bacterial small subunit ribosomal RNA", at positions 509 to 807 of the family's 1533-position model. The record is from RNAcentral.
CAGUCGCCACGGUAAUACGUAGGGUGCAAGCGUUGUCCGGAAUUAUUGGGCGUAAAGAGCUCGUAGGCGGUUUGUCGCGUCUGCUGUGAAAUCUGGAGGCUCAACCCCCAGCCUGCAGUGGGUACGGGCAGACUAGAGUGCGGUAGGGGAGAUUGGAAUUCCUGGUGUAGCGGUGGAAUGCGCAGAUAUCAGGAGGAACACCGAUGGCGAAGGCAGAUCUCUGGGCCGUAACUGACGCUGAGGAGCGAAAGCAUGGGGAGCGAACAGGAUUAGAUACCCCAGUAGUCCCUGUCUCUUAUAC